UAUGCCACUUGGAAUUCUGGGCUA
RNAcentral lists this non-coding RNA (24 nucleotides) under Cricetulus griseus (Chinese hamster). Lineage: Eukaryota; Metazoa; Chordata; Mammalia; Rodentia; Cricetidae. The record is from RNAcentral.